GCCUCACCGCCGCGACGCUCAAGGAGCCGGGCCCGGGCCGCUUCUCCCGAUCCCCCUUGCGCGUUGAGCCUGCGGAAGCAUGGAGGGGGAGAGUACGUCGGCGGUGCUCUCCGGCUUUGUGCUCGGCGCGCUCGCUUUCCAGCACCUCAACACCGACUCGGACACGGAAGGUUUUCUUCUUGGGGAAGUGAAAGGUGAAGCCAAGAAUAGUAUUACUGAUUCCCAAAUGGAUGAUGUUGAAGUUAUUUAUACAAUUGACAUCCAGAAAUAUAUUCCAUGCUAUCAGCUCUUUAGCUUUUAUAAUUCUUCUGGUGAAUUAAAUGAGCAAGCACUGAAGAAAAUAUUAUCAAGUGUCAAAAAGGCUGUGGUUGGUUGGUACAAAUUCCGACGUCAUUCAGACCAGAUCAUGACAUUUAGAGAGAGACUGCUUCAUAAAAACUUACAGAAGCAUCUUUCAAGCCGGGAACUGGUUUUUCUGCUGUUAACACCAAGUAUAAUAACAGAAAGCUGCUCUACUCAUCGGCUGGAGCAUGCCUUAUAUAAACCUCAGAAGGGGUAAUGUUGGCCAGUCAUUGGCUGUUUUCAGUUAAUAGAAAACUAUACUCAGUGUUUUCAUUGUACUUUUUGCAGCCUAACAAAUAUUUCAAAUACUGUUGCAUUUGUUACAAUAACCCUCUGAAGUUAGUGUACCAUAUUUUCUUAUAGAUGGGGAAGAUGAAGGUUGCAUAAGGAAAUUAGAAGCCCAGUAUGGAAUGAUGACUUGUGUUUUUGCCACAGAGGAUUUGUUAUAAGGUGGAAAAAAUAUGUGUACUUUGGAUAUGGUUCCUAAAGGACGUAAUAUAGAACUAAUCCUAGGUACUUGAGCAGCUUUUCUAUAACCUCUGCAAAGAAAGAAACAAGGUUGUUCUUGGUGGUCCACCAAAAUGAGUUAACAGAGACUCCCAACAGGUUAUGUAAACAACAUUCUCAUGGGAUAUGAGGAUUAAGUGAAAAGAGUACCAACUAAGAUUAAUUUUAUUAUUUUUUUUAAGUGAGCUUGACACCCACCCCCAGUGCAUGGAUUUGAACUCACCACCCUGAGAUCAAGACCUGAGCUGAGAUCAAGAGUCAGAGACUUAACCAACUGAGCCACUCAGACUUUUUCACAGGAUACCAUUAGUGGUGGCCAAUCUGGGCAUGUCUGAACAACUGGGUUAUAAAACUGUAUCAGGUUCCUGCGAGUCCACUGGUUUUAGCCGAGCAAUAAAAACACACAGCUCUGAAUUUUUUAAAGAAGAUGGAUCUUUAAAGGAGGUACAUAAAAUAAAUGAAAUGUAUGCUUCUUUACAAGAGGAAUUAAAGAGUAUAUGCAAAAAAGUAGAACACAGUGAGCGAGCAGUAGAGAAACUACUAAAGGAUGUACACAGAUUGAAAUGGGAAAUUAAAAAAAGAAAACAGGCACAAAUUCAAGUAGCACGGGAGACCGUCGAAAAAGACCCUCAGGAGAACAUUUUUCUUUGCGAAGCUUUACGGACCUUUUUUCCAGAUUGCGAAUUUCUUCAUUCAUGUGUUAUCUCUUUGAAAAAUAGGCAUAUUUCUAAAAGUAGCUGUACUGCCAACCACCAUCUUGAUGUGAUAGACAACCUGACCUUAAUGGUAGAAUACACCGACAUUCCUGAAGCUAGUCCAGCUAGCAGUACACCGCAAAUGAUUAAACAUAAAGCUUUAGAUACUGAUGAUGGAUGGCAAUUCAAGAAGUCACGGCUGUUAGAGACACAAAACAAACCAUCUAAAACAGAUACUGAUAGUAGUAAUCAAGAAAAAGCAUAUACAUUGAGCAGCCCUGAAACAGAUGAAGAGAUUGAAAGAAUGAA
Lynx canadensis (Canada lynx) is the source of this 1853-nucleotide RNA transcript. It is a transcript of the gene named abraxas 1, BRCA1 A complex subunit, with no coding region annotated. The record is from RefSeq and is a predicted model, not a curated record. The transcript is spliced from 9 exons. Lineage: Eukaryota; Metazoa; Chordata; Mammalia; Carnivora; Felidae.